Molecule: transfer RNA, 63 nt
Filed under: Rhinebothriidae sp. DJM-2021
Lineage: Eukaryota; Metazoa; Platyhelminthes; Cestoda; Rhinebothriidea; Rhinebothriidae
Description: tRNA-Gln
Source: RNAcentral
UUUAAUGGGGUGUUUUACGCAUAAUACAUUUUGGUUGUAUAGGUGGCUAGUCGCUCAUUAAUU